UUCAAAGGCUUUACAGAGGCAGCAUGUCCUGUGUCAUUCAGUGUGGGGAGUGGGAGUCAAAUGAUUUUCUCAUCUCUGUGGACAGAUUGACUUUCUUAAGUGUCAGGAAGUAAUAAAGCUGCCGUUGAGGCUUGUUUUAAUCAGAGCAGUUGAGUUGCCUGUCCAAGUGAAGUCCUCCAAGACAUCCAUCACCAGAAAUUUAAACGAGGAGGCUCUCCCCAUUGUUGCUUCUUUGAUAAUUAGUGGAGAGAGGUCUUCUUUGUGUUUCCCCAAAGUCCAUAGUGAUUUCUUUUGUCUUCGAUGCCUCAUGUUAGGUUCUUUUCUGUGCACCAGCCCUUCAGUUUACAGAUUUUGUUAUUUUAAACUGCCUCAUUGCUCUUAGAAAUGAGACUAGCCACUGUCAUCUGCAAUUUAACAGUGUUUGUUUAAUCACAGGGAAAUUAAGUGGUGAAAAUUCUGAGGUAUACUUAGCGUAAAAAAUACAACAAAACACUGAGACUCCCAUACUGCCAUGUGUAAGGUUUCCUGGUGGACUUAAAAUGCCGACUCACAGAUAAAGAAUUCAGAGUAUUUAUUUACAAUGAAAGAUUCAAUAGCAAAUGACAACAGCAAGAUUUUGUAGUUAGUGAUAAGCUAAAACUCCUAAACAGGGAGGUCGAUAACGUCCCGGUCCAGCUGUCGUGUACAGAAUCUUGCAGAAGGUUAGUCAAGGUGGGGGACAAUGGAUGUUUUUAUCCAGCUUAAGUAAGGAACAGCUGAUGACACAAUCAGGCACAGGUGAGGUAAUCAGCCCAGGUGCUGAUGGCAGGGAGCAGGAGGAAGAUUUGUCUCUAAAACACAGGAUGUGGUUAGCAGGCGGGCAGGCGGGCAGGCGCACAUAUACAGGUUAAGACAAGGCAUGCAUGCCCUAACAUUUGGGUAGGAAAGGUGACCUAAAAUUGUCAUCACUCACCUUUUAGACACUCAUUAGAGUGUCUGUUUUCUGUGUCUUAUUAGUAUACUCUGAAUUGGUUUGACUGUAUACAGAUUGUGGUAUGAUUACCAGUAGCCUAACUUUACAGGAAAAACAGUAAUCUUGAUCCAGGUGCUGUGUCUCUGAGUAGACUUUAUCAGGUCAGUAAAUCGCCCUGCCUAGACUCUAAUUACAGGCUACCAAUGGCCCAGUUGUCAUAGUCAUUUAAAUCCCCAAGCCCACGGAGCGAUCUGGUGCAAAAUAAACAACCUUGGGCUUUGUGUAUAAGAGGCACAGGGGAGAAGAAGAAGACAAUCCAAGAAUGGUUCUGUGAUUCGUGUUUAUCCUGCUCUUCUAGGGAUCUCUACACAGGAUCUUCACAAUUUUUUGGAGGGAAGGGAGGCCACCAUUUCUAUAGAGUAAAGCUAUCGUUCUGUUUUCACCAAAAUCUUGGCCAGGAGGAAAAAGAGAAGGAGGAAGAGUGAUGCUUUGGGAGCAAGCAUGAAGAAUCCAUUUGCUUCAGUAGCAGUGCUGGUGUGAGCAACAGACAGCGGCAGGGGGAUAUUAGGAGCUGAUAUCUUGCCUCCUCAUUCAUCCCUGAUAACACACAGCAGGAUGACGGCUCUGCUAUUUCUGCUGCUGCUGCUGAGAUGAUUGCUGUUAUUAUCUGGCUGCUGGAAGCUUCUGUUUAGAGCUCCUGGAUUGUCACUGCAGACCAAUCAGUCAUUAUCAGUGAUAGAUUUAUGGAGCUCCUGCUGGGUAACAUUAGUGUUUGUUCAGCUAUAGUCAGCUGAUGAUACACAAGGACAUUUAUCAUGUAUGCAUCAAAUGUGUUAAGUAGAAAAUAGAUAAUAUUAUGGAUAUGGCAUUGUGUCUUUUAUCCCAGCACAAAUGUGAUGAUGGUUUCUAACAAGUUUAAAUGUCAAACAGACUGAUUUCAAAAGUGGCUAAACAGUGUAUGGAGUAUUAGUUCCUUAUAGUAUGGUUUAACUUUAUAUCAAAUGGUUUUUAGGAUCAAGUUUUAGUUUUAGAUGCUAUUAUUUACCAUAAAAGUAUUUUGUUUCCCUGCUUUGGGUAGCAAAGCAGUGCAUGAACAAACAACUCUGACUGGUUUUAGGGGUCACCAGUGUGGAUCAUCUACCUCCAUCUCACCCUGUCUCUAGCAUCUUCUUCUUUCACACCAACACUCUCCAUGUCCUCCUUCACUACAUCCAUACAUCUUUUAUGCUGUCUUUCACUUAUUCUCUUGCCUGGGAGAUUAAUCAUCCUUUGUCCAGUAUAUCCACUAACUGCUUGUCCAACUAUGUCCAAACUAUCACAACUUAACCUCACUGCCUUUGUCUCCAAAUUGCUCAAGUUGUCUCUGUGAUGCACUUAUUUAUAGUUUUUUUCAUCUUGGUCACUCCCAGUGAAAAUCACCACAUCUUCGAAUCUACCACCUCCAGCUCCUCUUCUUGUCUGAGAGAGUCACCACCAUCUCAUCGUAAAAACCAGCACAGCGAGACUUUAAAGUGAUCGCCAUAGUGAUUUGACUUUAGAAACAUGAGGAGGUAGAAACAGAGGCUGCAGCCUGACUGCCUUUGUUACUUGUUGAAGUUCAGGGUCUGGCUGCUGGGCUGGUCACCAUUCACUCAAUCUUAACAUCUCUCUGGAUUCUUUGCUAGCCUAACUUUAGCAUGUCUGUGCAGGUACUUGCAAAGAGCUUGUUAGAAGCAUAAUAUUGCUGUCAACUGAGCCCUCAGUUAUUUCUGUCCUGAAUGCAAGACAGAAACAACUUUAACUUCCACUUUAUUAUUGCACUCUCAUCUAUUUGUGCAAUAAAAGAAAUGUUUAUAUCCACGUUGUGGACUGAGCCACUAUUUUCCUCCUCUGGCACACAAA
Molecule: long non-coding RNA, 2833 nt
Organism: Oreochromis niloticus (Nile tilapia)
Lineage: Eukaryota; Metazoa; Chordata; Actinopteri; Cichliformes; Cichlidae
Exons: 3
Source: RefSeq, a predicted model, not a curated record